AUUGAACGCUGGCGGAAUGCUUUACACAUGCAAGUCGAACGGCAGCACGGACUUCGGUCUGGUGGCGAGUGGCGAACGGGUGAGUAAUAUAUCGGAACGUGCCCAGUCGUGGGGGAUAACGUAGCGAAAGUUACGCUAAUACCGCAUACGAUCUACGGAUGAAAGCGGGGGAUCGCAAGACCUCGCGCGAUUGGAGCGGCCGAUAUCAGAUUAGGUAGUUGGUGGGGUAAAGGCUCACCAAGCCAACGAUCUGUAGCUGGUCUGAGAGGACGACCAGCCACACUGGAACUGAGACACGGUCCAGACUCCUACGGGAGGCAGCAAUGGGGAAUUUUGGACAAUGGACGCAAGUCUGAUCCAGCCAUUCCGCGUGCAGGAUGAAGGCCCUCGGGUUGUAAACUGCUUUUGUACAGAACGAAAAGGCUCUUCCUAAUACGGAGGGCUCAUGACGGUACUGUAAGAAUAAGCACCGGCUAACUACGUGCCAGCAGCCGCAGUAA
Molecule: ribosomal RNA, 500 nt
Filed under: uncultured bacterium
Lineage: Bacteria
Description: partial 16S ribosomal RNA
Rfam family: Bacterial small subunit ribosomal RNA
Source: RNAcentral